RNAcentral lists this Y RNA (104 nucleotides) under Colobus angolensis palliatus. RNAcentral's name for it is "Y RNA (ENSCANG00000015357.1)". It matches the Rfam family "Y RNA". From Rfam's summary of the family: Y RNAs are components of the Ro ribonucleoprotein particle (Ro RNP), in association with Ro60 and La proteins. The record is from Rfam by way of RNAcentral. Lineage: Eukaryota; Metazoa; Chordata; Mammalia; Primates; Cercopithecidae.
GGCUAUUCCAAAGGUAGUGAGUUACCUCAAUUGAUAGUUCGCAAAGAUUGAAAUCCUUAUUCUACUAUUUUCUCCCUCUCACUACUGCACUUGAUUAGUCUUAA